AGAAGAAGAAAUUUGAGAGAGAAGUAAAACCCUAGUUUUGCUUUCAAUUACAAAGCCCCAAAUCACCACCACCGGUGCUCGCCGGCCAGUUUUCCGGUGUUGCAUCUACUUGCGCAAAUUCUGCCUGUUGUGUUGUGUUGCUUCACGGAAUCUCAAAAGAUGACAAAGGGAGCGGCAAUGUCGUCUUCUGCUGUGUCGGUUCGUGAUAACGUGAUCAAUUUGGAAGCUUGUGAAAGAUCAAUCCGUUCAGAAGGUGAAUCUCUCAAUAAGUUGGAUGAUGAUACACUCGUUCAAAUUCUUUGCGGUUUACCCCUUAAAGAUGCGGCAAGAACGAGUGUCCUUUCACGUAGAUGGAGGCACUUAUGGCGCCGUUCACUCAUGUAUCCGUUGAAUAAUAUGUAAAUUUCCAUCAAGAACCGAAUGCUAGUACUGUGACCCGUAAAUGAAUCUUGAGAUGAUGUCUAUAAAACAGAUGUUGUGAAGAUAAUAGAGAAAGCAGAGGAAGAUAGCAAAGUUACCUUUAGGUGAUUUACAUGAAAAUGUUCAUAGCUAAAAUAUUUUAGGUACUUUUUGUUAUUCUUUGGUUCAUACCAAAGAUGUUCUUUUUUUCUUUUCUUCACUAAGUUAAUGUGACAUUUGGUUUAU
Long non-coding RNA from Solanum stenotomum, 645 nucleotides. RefSeq lists it as uncharacterized. The record is from RefSeq and is a predicted model, not a curated record. The transcript has 4 exons. NCBI's taxonomy places the organism in Eukaryota, Viridiplantae, Streptophyta, Magnoliopsida, Solanales, Solanaceae.